This 497-nucleotide ribosomal RNA is filed under the name uncultured bacterium. Its description in RNAcentral is "partial 16S ribosomal RNA". It matches the Rfam family "Bacterial small subunit ribosomal RNA", at positions 28 to 507 of the family's 1533-position model. The record is from RNAcentral.
GACGAACGCUGGCGGCGUGCCUAAUACAUGCAAGUUGAGCGCUGAAGGUUGGUACUUGUACCGACUGGAUGAGCAGCGAACGGGUGAGUAACGCGUGGGGAAUCUGCCUUUGAGCGGGGGACAACAUUUGGAAACGAAUGCUAAUACCGCAUAAAAACUUUAAACACAAGUUUUAAGUUUGAAAGAUGCAAUUGCAUCACUCAAAGAUGAUCCCGCGUUGUAUUAGCUAGUUGGUGAGGUAAAGGCUCACUAAGGCGAUGUUACAUAGCCGACCUGAGAGGGUGAUCAGCCACAGUGGGACUGAGACACGGCCCAAACUCCUACGGGAGGCAGCAGUAGGGAAUCUUCGGCAAUGGACGAAAGUCUGACCGAGCAACGCCGCGUGAGUGAAGAAGGUUUUCGGAUCGUAAAACUCUGUUGGUAGAGAAGAACGUUGGUGAGAGUGGAAAGCUCAUCAAGUGACGGUAACUACCCAGAAAGGGACGGCUAACUACGUG